GAAUUAGGGGCCAAAAAGGGGCAGAAAACAAGCAUUUUUCUUGUUUCAUGACAAUAACUUGUGUGUAAGUGUAUGGAUCUCUCUGACAUUGUAUCACAAGGUUCCAUAACACAAAGGGAAUGCUGGGAUUGAUUUUGGGGGUAAUUGCCCACAAAUUUUAGGAAUUAGGGGCCAAAAAGGGGCCAAAAACAAGCAUUUUUCUAGUUUCAUGACAAUAACUUGUGUGUAAGUGUAUGGAUCUUUAUGAAAUUGUACAACAAGGUUCCAUAUCACAAAGGGAAAGCUGGGUUUGAGUUUGGGGGUAAUUGCCCUUAACGUUUAGGAAUUUGGGGCCAAAAACAAGCAUUUUUUUCUAGUUUCCAGACAAUAACUUGUGUUCAAGUGUAUGGAUCUCUCUGAAAUUGUACUGCAAGGUACCAUACCACAAAGGGAAGGCUGGGAUUGAGUUUGGGGGUGAUGAAUCAUAAGGGGGUUCAAAAAAUUUGGGGGGGAUUUUUUUUUCCUUUUUUUUCUUUAAAAUUUUCCAUUUUAAAUUGGUUAUUUCUGAUUUAUAUAUAAAAGCAAAUAAUAAUGAUAUGGUUUGAAUAGGUAAAUUAAAAAAUUUUAAGUUCUUA
Long non-coding RNA from Mytilus californianus (California mussel), 614 nucleotides. RefSeq lists it as uncharacterized. The record is from RefSeq and is a predicted model, not a curated record. NCBI's taxonomy places the organism in Eukaryota, Metazoa, Mollusca, Bivalvia, Mytilida, Mytilidae. The transcript is spliced from 2 exons.